RNAcentral lists this long non-coding RNA (477 nucleotides) under Rattus norvegicus (Norway rat). RNAcentral describes it as "long non-coding RNA NONRATT013059". The record is from RNAcentral. Lineage: Eukaryota; Metazoa; Chordata; Mammalia; Rodentia; Muridae.
GGAUGUUACUCAUAAUUCUACUUUUGGAAAAUUUCAGUAUGUGCAUGUAUCUAUAGACACAUGUUCUGGCAUUCUACAUGCCACCCCACUUACAGGAGAAAAAACAACACAUGUCAUUCAGCACUGCCUUGAAGCAUGGAGUGCUUGGGGAAAGCCAAGAUGUGUAAAAACUGACAAUGGCCCUGCCUAUACAUCUCAAAAAUUCCGUCAGUUUUGUGCUCAGAUGCAAGUUACCCAUCUGACGGGCCUGCCCUACAACCCUCAAGGACAGGGAAUCAUAGAGCGUGCUCAUCGGACGCUCAAAUCAUAUUUAAUAAAACAAAGAAGGGGAAUUAUGAUAGAACUCCCCCCAACACCCCGAGUGGCCACUGCUCUGGCCCUUUUUACCUUAAAUUUUUUAAAUCUUGAUGAAGCUGGACAAACAGCGGCUGAGCGACAUUGCUCAGAGCCCAAGAGGACAAAAGAAUUAGUCAAAUG